AGUAUCAGGAUAAUCAGGACUCAACAGGUU
This 30-nucleotide non-coding RNA is filed under the name Cricetulus griseus (Chinese hamster). Lineage: Eukaryota; Metazoa; Chordata; Mammalia; Rodentia; Cricetidae. The record is from RNAcentral.